This 484-nucleotide ribosomal RNA is filed under the name uncultured bacterium. RNAcentral describes it as "partial 16S ribosomal RNA". It matches the Rfam family "Bacterial small subunit ribosomal RNA", at positions 30 to 507 of the family's 1533-position model. The record is from RNAcentral.
AUUGAACGCUGGCGGCAGGCCUAACACAUGCAAGUCGAGCGGAUGAAGGGAGCUUGCUCCUGGAUUCAGCGGCGGACGGGUGAGUAAUGCCUAUGAAUCUGCCUGGUAGGGGGGGAUAACGUCCGGAAACGGGCGCUAAUACCGCAUACGUCCUGAGGGAGAAAGUGGGGGAUCUUCGGACCUCACGCUAUCAGAUGAGCCUAGGUCGGAUUAGCUAGUUGGUGGGGUAAAGGCCUACCAAGGCGACGAUCCGUAACUGGUCUGAGAGGAUGAUCGGUCACACUGGAACUGAGACACGGUCCAGACUCCUACGGGAGGCAGCAGUGGGGAAUAUUGGACAAUGGGCGAAAGCCUGAUCCAGCCAUGCCGCGUGUAUGAAGAAGGUCUUCGGAUUGUAAAGCACUUUAAGUUGGGAGGAAGGGCAGUAAGUUAAUACCUUGCUGUUUUGACGGUACCAACAGAAUAAGCACCGGCUAACUUCGUG